This 390-nucleotide ribosomal RNA is filed under the name uncultured microorganism. RNAcentral's name for it is "bacterial SSU rRNA". It matches the Rfam family "Archaeal small subunit ribosomal RNA", at positions 330 to 674 of the family's 1478-position model. The record is from RNAcentral.
GUGCAGCAGGCGAGAAACCUUCGCAAUGCAGGAAACUGCGACGAGGGAACUCCAAGUGCCUACGCUCAGCGUAGGCUGUUCUCAAGCCUAGAAAGCUUGAGGAGUAAGGGCUGGGUAAGACGGGUGCCAUCUGUGGUAGCAGUCAAUAGAUUCGAUUUGUUACUGCAAGGCAUAAGCCGCCGCGGUAAUACCCCGCAGCCCAAGUGGUGGCCGCUUUUAUGGGCCUAAAGCGUCCGUAGCCGGCCCGGUAAAUGCCUGGGGUAAAUCGUGGAGCCCCAACUUCACGAAUUCCGGGUAGACUGCCGAGCUCGGGGACCGGAAGAGGGAGAGGGGUACUUCAGGGGGUAGGGUGAAAAUUUCCUUUCCAUUUAACGCUUUUGCGCGAAGCGG